This 713-nucleotide long non-coding RNA is filed under the name Gossypium barbadense (sea-island cotton). RNAcentral's name for it is "long non-coding RNA (GBAR_LNC021954)". Lineage: Eukaryota; Viridiplantae; Streptophyta; Magnoliopsida; Malvales; Malvaceae. The record is from RNAcentral.
UGAACCCCUGCUCAGGCUCCGAUGGCGACAGAGAGAUCAAGGAUUCGACGGUGAGGUACUUUAUUCCCCCCCCUUUUAUGCUACUAUUUAUUUCUUUAAUAAACGCCCAAUGGAAUCUCAAACGAAAAAACUGCGAAAAAAAAUAAGAAGGAAGAAGAAGAACCCAGAAAUCACCUUUUGGUGUUUUUUUUAUUUUUUAUUUUUGUAUUUUGAAUGCGUGUGUGUGCUUUUUUUUAUGUUUUUCUCUGUGUCCCCUUACAAAAGGCUCCCUAUUUCUUCUUAUAGCCGAAAAAUAAAGAAAAAAUGAAAUCCCCCGAAUCUUUUUCUUUACAUUUUUCUUAUUUUUCUGAUUUGCUGGCGAUUUCUCUUCUUUUUGCUUGCUUUCUCUGCCUUUUUCGUUUGUUUGUCCUUCUUGCAGGUAUACGGAGGUCGUACGGUGACGUGGUACGGCUCAACGCAGCGCAUGGAGGCAUAUCAAGUAGCGGUGGCGCACGUGCGAAGGCACGCACGCCGGCAGAGGCUCGACACGUGGGGACGAAGGCCUUGGUGGCUGCGGUGUUGGAAGCCGAAUGCUGCUAGGGUUUCAGUCUCAGUUAGGCUAGGUGUUGGGCCAUUGGGCCAUUAGGUUUAGGUUUUUGGGCUAGGUGUACUGGGCUUCUGUUUAGUGGGUUUUGGGUAUGUAAUUUUGAGUUUUCAAAUUGGGUCAAUGUAAU